AACGAACGCUGGCGGCAGGCCUAACACAUGCAAGUCGAGCGAGGACUUCGGUCCUAGCGGCGGACGGGUGAGUAACGCGUGGGAACGUGCCCUUUGCUUCGGAAUAGCCCUGGGACACUGGGAGUAAUACCGGAUGAGCCCUUUUGGGGCAAGAUUUAUCGUCGAAGGAUCGGCCCACGUUGGAUUAGGUAGUUGGUGGGGUAUUGGCCUACCAAGGCGGCGAUCCAUAGCUGGUUUGAGAGGAUGAUCAGCCACACUGGGACUGAGACAGGGCCCAGACACCUGCGGGGAGACGCAGUCGGGAAUACUACGCGAGGGAGGAGAGCGUGAUCCAAGAAAACCGCGGGAGUGCUGAAGGAGCCAGGGUGGGAGAGCGAUGAUGUUGGGAGAGAAGAGCAGCAGGUUAAGAUGGGAAGAUAAUGACGGUACCAGCAGAAGAAGCCCCGGCUAACUUCGUG
This 458-nucleotide ribosomal RNA is filed under the name uncultured bacterium. RNAcentral's name for it is "partial 16S ribosomal RNA". It matches the Rfam family "Bacterial small subunit ribosomal RNA", at positions 29 to 507 of the family's 1533-position model. The record is from RNAcentral.